This is a long non-coding RNA of Protopterus annectens (West African lungfish), 431 nucleotides long. RefSeq lists it as uncharacterized. The transcript is spliced from 2 exons. Lineage: Eukaryota; Metazoa; Chordata; Ceratodontiformes; Protopteridae. The record is from RefSeq and is a predicted model, not a curated record.
UAGGUUUUUUGAGGAAAAGAGAUAUAAGUCAACAAGAAUAUGGUGGUGGCAGUGGUUUUGGUUGUGAUUAUCGUGGAGGUUUAUGCUGAAUAGCUUCUACUCUGCUUUCUGUGGCAACCAAAAUGGCAUUGAAGUUUGAUAGAAGACAGCAAGAAAACAACAACGCCUCCUGAUGAUGUCUCCUGCUACAAUGUAACACGAAUGAAACCGUUUCUCUGCAACUUACUGUGGCUAUAGUGACUGCACAAAUUUCAAAAUAAUAUAUGUAAAAGCAUGGGUGUGAGUUAAUUUGUCUUGGCUCUUGUGCUUAUACCAUAUUUCACAAACUGACCUGAGCAAGUUGAUUAAACUGCAAACUUAUCUGGGAUAUGGCCACUUUUCCCAGAACAAAAGUGCUUGCUAAGAAGAAUAAAUACUUGAGUUUUGCCAAA